ACAGAGGGUGCGAGCGUUGUUCGGAAUUACUGGGCGUAAAGCGCGCGCAGGCGGCUCUUUAAGUCUGACGGUGAAAUGCCGGGGCUCAACCCCGUGCCCGCCGCGGAUACUGGAGGGCUGGAGACACGUAGAGGCAAGCGGAAUUCCGGGUGUAGCGGUGGAAUGCGUAGAGAUCCGGAAGAACACCGGAGGCGAAGGCGGCUUGCUGGGCGUGAUCUGACGCUGAGGCGCGAAAGCGUGGGGAGCGAACAGGA
This 254-nucleotide ribosomal RNA is filed under the name uncultured prokaryote. RNAcentral describes it as "partial 16S ribosomal RNA". It matches the Rfam family "Bacterial small subunit ribosomal RNA", at positions 525 to 777 of the family's 1533-position model. The record is from RNAcentral.